RNAcentral lists this small nuclear RNA (112 nucleotides) under Castor canadensis (American beaver). The record is from RNAcentral. Lineage: Eukaryota; Metazoa; Chordata; Mammalia; Rodentia; Castoridae.
GUGCUCGCUUUGGCAGCACAUAUACUAAAAUUGGAACGAUACAGAGAAGAUUAGCUUAGCAUGGCCCCUGCGCAAGGAUAACAUGCAAAUUCAUGAAGUGUUCCAUAUUAAA